UUUUAAAUGUGCCACUAACAUGAUGCUGUCAUUUCAUUGUCAUUCUAGCAGUAAGGAUUCUGAGUCCUUAGCACUCUGUUUGACCCAGCCUCUCCUUCCAGGAAAUGACUAAAUAUACUCAUUCAGAGCAUAUUUAUUUUUGAGCAUCUACUUUGGGGCUACCACUGUGUUAGGCUUUCAGCACACAGCAGUGAUAAAAAUGAGCAAAAUGUCUCAUCUUAUUAAUAUGACACUAUAUUGUGGAAAAGAGAAACAAUUGUAAAAAAUAUGUUCAAGAUUGUUAAUUUUAUGAAGAAAAAUAAGACAGCAUAAGGGACAGAUCAGUCAUUUUUAUUCAUUGGUCAUUGAAAUCUUUUCUGAUAAUCGAAUAGCACAGAAGAGACCUAAAAGAACUGAAAUAAUGGGUUCUAGUGUAUCUGGGGAAAACGACUCAAGGUAAAGGGAACCAUCAUCUUUUUCAGAUGGCACUCAGAGCCAUAAGAGGUUCAGAUAGAUCCACCCAGCAGUGAGUGCAGUGGGUUUUUCUAGGCAGAAAACACAGAAGAAACAUCAAGAAAUCACAUGAUUGGCUUGCCAUGUCCAAGUCCUUUUCUAAUUUUGUUUUUCUUUUUAAAGCAUAUUUUUUGCCUGCUACCAUGACUUGUAAUUUUUGAUGAUGUUGUUGAAAGCUGAUGUAUUCAUUUGCUAUGCGUACCAUAGCAUUCUGGUAGUUUGAUGACAACCUUUGGCAUUCCUUGGCUUGAAGUAGCAUUACUUCAAUCUAUUCCUUUAUCUUCAAAAGAUAAUAUUCCUGGGUGCAUGUCCAACUUUUUUUAAAUAAGGACACCAGUUUCAAAGGUAAAGCCCAGACACUGGUUAAGGUAGUGAGGACAGAUUUUAAUUAGUAACAUAUUUUGGGGUAUUUGUGGGUUUUUCACCUAAAAUGUAAUCUUACACAGGCUGUAGAUUAUAUCUCUGUUUCCAGGAAGCCCCGUGUGUUGCUUUGUGUGUGCAUCAGUCUCUCGAGAACCCCCUGUGAAUCAGGAGGCAUACGUUCCAGUGACUAUAGGGAGUCGAGGGGCUAAAGAGGUAAGUGAAACAUCUGGUAGGGGUAAAAGGAUGGGUAUAUAUCAAAAGUCAGGGGUGUUUAAUGGAAAAGAGGUGCAUAUCAAAGUGUCAGGGGAGUUCAAUGGAAAAAGUUAAGAUGGUAAAAGAAAGAAGGAAAAAAGAAGGAAAUGGGAAGGGAGCAGUCCUAUAAGAGCCACUUUAGGCAGAUCUUAAGAUUUUCAAAUAAACCAUUGCAGUUCCGAAUUAUCCACAGUAAAGUCAUUUUGCCUAAAAUAGAAGCAGACAUGGUUAGUGUCAUAGUAUAUAUAGAGAGUAGGAACCCAAAAGGGGUUUAACUGUGGAGUUCCUGUGGGAAGAGUAAGUUCAAAUAGAAUGAAGAGGUCUCACAAGAAGCCAGAGUGAACAUUCCAGCACAGGAGUUAGGAAGUGAAUUCCCACUGAAAACAGGGAGCCAGGAAGAUAAACAGCCAGCCCAGGAGAUGUCUUUCAAAAGCAGCCUGGAAUUAUAACCCAGCCUUAGAGACUACAGCCAGAAACAUAGGAAGAAAAUAUGUCCUCGCCAUGCCUCAGUGCAAAUUUCUACACAGUGUUAGGCCAGAAGUUGAACUCGCCACCAAAUACCCAAAAAAGUAAGUCAACUGAAGAUCAGACAAAGGUUUCUACGCAUGCAGAAAGGAUUGACUGUUUUGUCCAAGGGCCAGAUAAGGGUUCCAAUCUGGAUUUGAGUUCCAGUGCCAGAUAACUGUCAAGACAAACAAAAUGGAAAACUGGUUAAAGAGGAAGCUGAUGCUUACAACAAUGGAGAUUAGCAAUACCUGGACAGAGUUGAGCUUCAAAGGAUACUGAGAAAUGGCUAAAGCAGCGUGUCUCAGCAAGUUCCCCUGGCUCCAACAUCACACACUCAUCUGAGGGUAACUUUUCGUCACUAUUCAGCACUGAGCCCCGGAGUCUCCUCUCAGCUCCUUGUUUGAACUCAGAUGUCACAGAUAGAAUUAGUGUGUCCUUAUGAGCUGCACCCUUCACACGAGUAUCAAAACAGCUUAUUUAUUUUCUUACAUUUGUUUGCAUAAACAACUACAUGUAUUUUUCAAACUCCUUGGUAAAAGCCAUGUGCUAUUCAAAAUUUAAUCUUAUUUAACUAUUUUUAAUUAUAAAAUAGUACAAAAUGC
RNAcentral lists this long non-coding RNA (2216 nucleotides) under Homo sapiens (human). RNAcentral's name for it is "HSALNT0299671". The record is from RNAcentral. Lineage: Eukaryota; Metazoa; Chordata; Mammalia; Primates; Hominidae.